Molecule: ribosomal RNA, 1764 nt
Filed under: Triticum aestivum (bread wheat)
Lineage: Eukaryota; Viridiplantae; Streptophyta; Magnoliopsida; Poales; Poaceae
Description: partial small subunit ribosomal RNA
Source: RNAcentral
AUGGCGCGGAUCGACGGCGGCAGCGCGCUGGCGUUCUGCGUGCUCCACGACCUGCUGGGCGCGGCGGCGUUCCUGGCGGCGCACCCGCUGCACGCCGCCUACGCGCUCUUCUUCCACCGGGGCCUGCUCGCGCUCGCCGCCUUCUUCUGCCCGCUGCUGCUCUCCACGGCGCUCCUCCUCGUCGUGCUCCUCACCGCCGCCCCGUACGUCGCGCCGGGGCGGGCCGGGGCGCGGUACCUCGGCAGCACCUCCGGCGUCGCCGUCGCCGCGCUCUGCGCCGGGCUGCGGCCCGACGGCGGGCUCGGGCUGAUCGGCCAGCUCUGCUCCUUCGUGCUCGGCCCGGCGGGCGUCGGCGAGGUCGUGUUCGUGGGCGAGGUGUGUGAUGCUGGUGGUGGUUCUUGCUUUCUUUUGGAAGAGAAGAGCUUGCUGUAUGCUUAUGCUACCCGAGAGCUGGAGGGUGAGCUGCCAUUGCAGAGUGUGUCUCGAGAAGAGAUCUGCUUCCUGAGCAAUGGGGAAUUUUAUGAAGAAGAUAUGCCCAAUUUCAAGGAUGAAAUUCAGGAGAAAAAUGUGGUCUGUGAGGAUCUGAAGAAGGCUCCGGAAACCUUGUCUUCUUCUUCGGAGCAUUGCUGUCCAGGUGAGACAUUCAUGCCGGUGCCAGAGAUGGAAGAGCAGGAGAAAUCCAUCAACAAUGUAAGCUUGCCAGAGAGAAAGGGAUUCAGCAGUGAUGCGGUUAAGGAAAAGAGAUUGGAGUGUGACCCUGUUCCUCUGUCAGCAAUGGAGGCGAACACACCUGAGCGGGUCAGCAAGCCACGCUCUUCGAUUUCUCAGCGAAUAAGGCAAUGGGAAUCUGGCAAUCUGAAGCUUGUUCUUGAUGAAAUCGAGGAUAAUCCGGUGGAAAUCUGUUUCGAGAAGGAAUCAUUCAAGGGUGUGAAGGAAGCCGUGCCAUUGAAGACUGAAUCUUGCGACCAAAAGCAGAGUGAAGACCAGCUCGCUCAAGAAGAAUCUGACCGGAAGCAAUCGCCAGAGGAGGAACUUGUAGAUGUCAAGGAAGAAUUGGUGCGCUCGAAGGUGGCGGAAAAAUGCAGCGAAGACCUGCGAGCUGAAGAAAUCGCCUCCAUUAUCGGUGAACCCGAAGCAGACCCGCCGCAAGAACAGAGGAGGGAGGACGUGCAGGCCGAAGAAGAUGCGCAGCCUAACGGACAAGACCAUCAAGAAGAUGUGCAGGAAGAGCAGGAGCACGAGGACGCGGACGGCGGGGAGGGUCCCCUGAGGUCGACGUCCAUCGCGCGGCGCGUGCACACGCGGACCUCGUCGGAGAGCCUCGCCGGCGCGGGCGAGGGGUCGCCGUCCAAGGGGAAGGAGUGGAAGCGGACGCUCGCGUGCAAGCUGUACGAGGAGCGGAUCCAGCUCAAGGUCUGCCGCGACCGCGCCGUGGCCGGGGCGUGCGCGGACGACAUGGACAUGCUCUGGGAGGCUUACGAGACCGGGGGCGGCAGCAGCAGCGCCGUCGCCGUCGCCGUCGCCGGCGACACCAAGCCCCGAGGUGGCGGCGGCAGCAAGGCGAACGAACAAUCCGUUGACGAGGAGGAGGAGGAGGAAGACGAGGAGGACGAAGGGCCGGUGCGGCAGCUGUGCUGCCUGCAGGCGCUCAAGUUCUCGACGAGGAAGAUGAACCUCGGGGGCGGCAAGCCGAGCCUGUCCAAGAUCUCCAGGGUGCUCAAGCGGAUGACCGCGCUGUCCAGGGUCGGGUCGCGCCGUAAGUGA